RNAcentral lists this ribosomal RNA (490 nucleotides) under uncultured bacterium. RNAcentral describes it as "partial 16S ribosomal RNA". It matches the Rfam family "Bacterial small subunit ribosomal RNA", at positions 30 to 507 of the family's 1533-position model. The record is from RNAcentral.
AUUGAACGCUGGCGGCAGGCCUAACACAUGCAAGUCGAACGGUAACAGGAAGAAGCUUGCUUCUUUGCUGACGAGUGGCGGACGGGUGAGUAAUGUCUGGGAAACUGCCUGAUGGAGGGGGAUAACUACUGGGAACGGUAGCUAAUACCGCAUAACGUCGCAAGACCAAAGAGGGGGACCUUCGGGCCUCUUGCCAUCGGAUGUGCCCAGAUGGGAUUAGCUAGUAGGUGGGGUAACGGCUCACCUAGGCGACGAUCCCUAGCUGGUCUGAGAGGAUGACCAGCCACACUGGAACUGAGACACGGUCCAGACUCCUACGGGAGGCAGCAGUGGGGAAUAUUGCACAAUGGGCGCAAGCCUGAUGCAGCCAUGCCGCGUGUAUGAAGAAGGCCUUCGGGUUGUAAAGUACUUUCAGCGGGGAGGAAGGGAGUAAAGUUAAUACCUUUUCUCAUUGACGUUACCCGCAGAAGAAGCACCGGCUAACUCCGUG